RNAcentral lists this ribosomal RNA (1399 nucleotides) under uncultured bacterium. RNAcentral describes it as "16S ribosomal RNA". It matches the Rfam family "Bacterial small subunit ribosomal RNA". The record is from RNAcentral.
UUCGCCCUUAGAGUUUGAUCCUGGCUCAGGACGAACGCUGGCGGCGUGCUUAACACAUGCAAGUCGAACGGAGUUCCUUGGAAAGAGAUUUCGGUCAAUGGAAGAGGACACUUAGUGGCGGACGGGUGAGUAACGCGUGAGGAACCUGCCUCUCAGAGGGGGACAACAGUUGGAAACGACUGCUAAUACCGCAUAAUAUAUCUGUAUCGCAUGGUAUGGAUAUCAAAGAUUUAUCGCUGAGAGAUGGCCUCGCGUCUGAUUAGCUAGUUGGUAGGGUAACAGCCUACCAAGGCGACGAUCAGUAGCCGGACUGAGAGGUUGGCCGGCCACAUUGGGACUGAGAUACGGCCCAGACUCCUACGGGAGGCAGCAGUGGGGAAUAUUGGGCAAUGGGCGCAAGCCUGACCCAGCAACGCCGCGUGAAGGAAGAAGGCUUUCGGGUUGUAAACUUCUUUUAAGAGGGAAGAGCAGAAGACGGUACCUCUUGAAUAAGCCACGGCUAACUACGUGCCAGCAGCCGCGGUAAUACGUAGGUGGCAAGCGUUGUCCGGAUUUACUGGGUGUAAAGGGCGUGCAGCCGGGAGUGCAAGUCAGAUGUGAAAUCCCGCGGCUCAACCGCGGAACUGCAUUUGAAACUGUGCUUCUUGAGUGCUGGAGAGGCAGACGGAAUUCCUAGUGUAGCGGUGAAAUGCGUAGAUAUUAGGAGGAACACCAGUGGCGAAGGCGGUCUGCUGGACAGUAACUGACGGUGAGGCGCGAAAGCGUGGGGAGCAAACAGGAUUAGAUACCCUGGUAGUCCACGCUGUAAACGAUGGAUACUAGGUGUGGGGGGACUGGCCCCAUGCGUGCCGCAGUUAACACAAUAAAGUAUCCCACCUGGGGAGAACGAUCGCAAGGUUGAAACUCAAAGGAAUUGAGGGGGGCCCGCACAAGCGGUGGAUUAUGUGGUUUAAUUCGAUGCAACGCGAAGAACCUUGCCAGGGCUUGACAUCCUGCUAACGAGGUAGAGAUACGUCAGGUGCCCUUCGGGGAAAGCAGAGACAGGUGGUGCAUGGUUGUCGUCAGCUCGUGUCGUGAGAUGUUGGGUUAAGUCCCGCAACGAGCGCAACCCCUAUUGUUAGUUGCUACGCAAGAGCACUCUAGCGAGACUGCCGUUGACAAAACGGAGGAAGGUGGGGACGACGUCAAAUCAUCAUGCCCCUUAUGUCCUGGGCUACACACGUAAUACGAUGGCGGUCAACAGAGGGAUGCAAAACCGUGAGGUGGAGCGAACCCCUAAAAGCCGUCCCAGUUCAGAUCGCAGUCUGCAACCCGACUGAGUGAAGUCGGAAUCGCUAGUAAUCGCGGAUCAGCAUGCCGCGGUGAAUACGAUCCCGGGCCUUGCACACACCGCCCGUCA